Molecule: non-coding RNA, 126 nt
Organism: Aptenodytes forsteri (emperor penguin)
Lineage: Eukaryota; Metazoa; Chordata; Aves; Sphenisciformes; Spheniscidae
Source: Rfam
AAAAAAAAUUUUUUUCUUUUCCUUUUUUUUCUUCCCCCCCCCCCCUUUUUUUUAUAAAAAAAAGGGGGGGGGGGGAAGAAAAAAAAGGAAAAGAAAAAAAUUUUUUUUAAAAAAAAUUUUUUUCUU